RNAcentral lists this ribosomal RNA (478 nucleotides) under uncultured bacterium. RNAcentral describes it as "partial 16S ribosomal RNA". It matches the Rfam family "Bacterial small subunit ribosomal RNA", at positions 28 to 507 of the family's 1533-position model. The record is from RNAcentral.
GACGAACGCUGGUGGCGUGCUUAACACAUGCAAGUCGAACGGGAUUUAGUAAACAGAAGCCUCGGUGGAAGAUUACUAAUGAGAGUGGCGAACGGGUGAGUAACGCGUGAGCAACCUGCCUAUGACAGUGGGAUAGUCUCGGGAAACCGGGAUUAAUACCGCAUAAAAUCGUAGAAACACAUGUUUUAACGGUCAAAGAUUUAUCGGUCAUAGGUGGGCUCGCGUCUGAUUAGCUAGUUGGUGAGAUAACAGCCCACCAAGGCGACGAUCAGUAGCCGGUCUGAGAGGAUGAACGGCCACAUUGGAACUGAGACACGGUCCAAACUCCUACGGGAGGCAGCAGUGGGGAAUAUUGCACAAUGGGGGAAACCCUGAUGCAGCGACGCCGCGUGAACGAAGAAGGUAUUCGUAUCGUAAAGUUCUGUCCUAUGGGAAGAUAAUGACAGUACCAUAGAAGAAAGCUCCGGCUAAAUACGUG